Molecule: long non-coding RNA, 903 nt
Organism: Mercurialis annua (annual mercury)
Lineage: Eukaryota; Viridiplantae; Streptophyta; Magnoliopsida; Malpighiales; Euphorbiaceae
Exons: 2
Source: RefSeq, a predicted model, not a curated record
UGAGGUAAAAUGUAAAUUAGCCACUUUAAGGACUAAAGUGGACUUUUAACCACAAACUUCCGGAGGAAGUUGUGUUUUACUCUAUUUUUUCAAGAUAAGAAAAUAAUAUCGAUAAAGUGGUUAUCGAUAGUCAUUAAUAUGAAAAUUGGACGAAAAAGUGAGAAAAAGUGCAAAUUAGCUCAAAAUGGAAAUUUGAGCGUUUUUGGCCAAAAUCGCCAAAAUAAAUUGUUGAAAAGUGAUAUUGUAAGAUAUGAUACUAAUAUUAAUUAUUUGAAAAAUAAAUAACGGAAUUCAUCAAGAAUCGAAUGAUUAAAGGAUUAGUGGACUAAAUUGUACGAAAGAUAAGCUAGAAAGUAAAGAGAAAGGAGGUGGCAACUUCAAGGACCUAAGUGGACUUUUUACCCACUUAUUAUCAUCUUUUAUGAAUGAAUAAUCAUUCAUUCAAAGGUAAUUUUCAGCUAAGGAAAGAGCAAACCCGUAACCCCUUUUCUCCCAAAUCCUCCAAACUUCAAAUCUUCAUAUCUUUUUCGUUUCUCAACGAAAUUGAGCGAUUCUUGCAGCCACGGAACGAGGAAGUGAUUAUCUACAACUCUAUGGCAUAAAUUUGAGUGUAAUUGUAAGCUUGUAAUGAAGGUUAUGGAUGAUGAAAUUGGAGCUUUAAACCUACGGCAAUAGAGACAUCAUCAAGGUGAGAAAAUUCUGAAAUUUCUUGGCUUUUGAUUGAUGUAUUGAAUGAUGGAAAUGGCAUAUAGAGUUGGCAAUAAACAUGAGCUCUAGGUGGUUGAUGAAUUGAUUGUAAGAAAUUGUGUAGUGUUGAGUAAGAUUGAUUGAAACUUUGAAAGGAGAAAGGGCUAAGGGUUUCGGCCCCUAAGCUAUGAUGAUUAUAUGAGAUUCAAGUAUGAA